Molecule: ribosomal RNA, 496 nt
Filed under: uncultured bacterium
Lineage: Bacteria
Description: partial 16S ribosomal RNA
Rfam family: Bacterial small subunit ribosomal RNA
Source: RNAcentral
GUUGAACGCUGGCGGAAUGCUUUACACAUGCAAGUCGAACGGUAGAGGGGGCAACCCCUCGAGAGUGGCGAACGGGUGAGUAAUAUAUCGGAACGUGCCCAGUCGUGGGGGAUAACGUAGCGAAAGUUACGCUAAUACCGCAUACGAUCUAAGGAUGAAAGCGGGGGAUCGCAAGACCUCGCGCGAUUGGAGCGGCCGAUAUCAGAUUAGGUAGUUGGUGGGGUAAAGGCUCACCAAGCCAACGAUCUGUAGCUGGUCUGAGAGGACGACCAGCCAGACUGGAACUGCGACACGGUCCAGACUCCUACGGGAGGCAGCAGUGGGGAAUUUUGGACAAUGGACGCAAGUCUGAUCCAGCCAUUCCGCGUGCAGGAUGAAGGCCCUCGGGUUGUAAACUGCUUUUGUACGGAACGAAAAGGUCUCUCUUAAUACGGGGGACUCAUGACGGUACUGUAGGAAUAAGCACCGGCUAACUACGUGCCAGCCGCCGCUGUAA